UUGAAUAAGAAUUUUACCUUUGCCCUUCAUGUCUACUUUGGAGGAGUCACCAAAAGACACAUGUCUAUUCACCGAUUCGUCCAACUCCAUGAACAUAUUCUUAUAGCCACACAUAUGAUUACUUGCACCGGUGUCCAAAAACCACAUAUUUUGCUCACCGAUGUCAUUUUCUUUGCAAGCAAGCGAUAAGACUUCAUCACCAUCUUCUUUUUUUUUUUUGCUUAAUGAGACUUCUCUUCAACUUGGUUAGUAUCAUUGUACCAA
This 264-nucleotide long non-coding RNA is filed under the name Elaeis guineensis (African oil palm). Its description in RNAcentral is "long non-coding RNA (EGUI_LNC075888)". The record is from RNAcentral. Lineage: Eukaryota; Viridiplantae; Streptophyta; Magnoliopsida; Arecales; Arecaceae.